UUUAAUGGCCGCGGUAUUUUGACCGUGCUAAGGUAGCAUAAUCAAUAGUUUUUUAAUUGAAAGCUGGAAUGAAGGGUUGGAUAAAAAAAUAACUGUCUUUAUUUAAUUUAAUUAGAACUUUAUUUUUAAGUUAAAAAGCUUAAAUUUGGUUGAAAGACGAGAAGACCCUAUAGAGUUUUAUAUUUAUUUAUAUUAAUAUCUUAAGAAUUUAUUUUAUUAAAAUAAAUAAUUAUUGGAUUGGGGUGAUUAAAAAAUUUAAUUAACUUUUUUUAUAUUUGUACAUUUAUAAAUGAUUAAUUGAUCCAUAUUUAAUGAUUAUAAGAUUAAAUUACCUUAGGGAUAACAGCGUUAUUUUUUUUGAGAGUU
RNAcentral lists this ribosomal RNA (366 nucleotides) under Phratora gracilis. RNAcentral's name for it is "partial 16S ribosomal RNA". The record is from RNAcentral. Lineage: Eukaryota; Metazoa; Arthropoda; Insecta; Coleoptera; Chrysomelidae.